Lycium barbarum (goji berry) is the source of this 3064-nucleotide long non-coding RNA. RefSeq lists it as uncharacterized. The transcript is spliced from 5 exons. The record is from RefSeq and is a predicted model, not a curated record. Lineage: Eukaryota; Viridiplantae; Streptophyta; Magnoliopsida; Solanales; Solanaceae.
GGUCCAAAUUAAAUUGAUCUAAUCCAAAUUCUAAUUCGAUUAAAACUUCACAAAAUAUCCUCUGCCACUUGUCCACUGUUGCACUAAUGAAAAGAACUACGACGGGAUAUAAUAAACAAGUUUCCCAUAGUAGAGGAAAAUAUCUACCGACACUCCUCUAUAUAUUCACACCCGAUAGAACUAAAAGGCAUAGAGAAAAACAGAAAAGUACGAGCAAAAAUAUGGAGAAGAAAAUGAUGACAGUGGCAGCUAUGGCUAUGGUGUUCAUGAUCCUGUUGUCGGCCAACACGGACAUCGUCGAUGCUCAAGGCGUCAAUUGCUAUGACAAUUGUAACACUGGUUGCGCUGGUCUCCCAUCGAAGGAAUACCUGCGUUGUGAUAAGAAGUGCCACAAAAGAUGCGGAGAUGGCAAAAUUGAUGGAAACCUGGGUUGAAGGUGCUCAAAAGUACUAGCAAGCUAUCGAAGCUAAAUAAUAAGUGUCUUUGAUAAUAAUUUCUUUAUAGUUUGAGAAAAUAAAUGUUACUUUUAUGUGUAUGCUUAAUUACAACUAUGAAUCUUUACUGUAAUAGAUGCAAUGUAUGAUGGUGAAACUACGUAUAUGAAAUUAUAAUUGCCAGUUCAUUACUAGUCAGCUCAAAGUCAAAUUUGCCAACGCUGUGUAUGAACUCAAAUCAUUCUUUCUCAUGUUAUAUUUAUCAACAGAGUAGAAAAAAGAAAAAGAAAAGGAGAAUUAGCAGUAUUUUUUAAGAAACUGAGUAGUGCAGAAAGAUAACACUAUAGACUCAUCUCGCACAUUCUACUAGUAGUGUGAGCAUUAACCCAACUAAGCACAUGAAAAUGAUCCACAAAAUAAUGUUUCAAGGUAAAUCAUUUUUUACAUGAAAAUAUUCUCUAGGGAACGUUUUAAUAGAAAUUUUCUUUUUGACCGUCCUUCUAAUUGAAAAAUGAGUGAAUUCGGAUACUUCUGUUCGACACCAUGAAGUAUGAGUGAAUUCAGAUAAGACGGUUUAAUGUGUAAGAUGAGAAAUGAAUAGAAAUAGCUAAUCGUAAAUUAGUUGGUAGCUAGGUCUGUGUUUGAUAUAUGAUAAGAAAAAUUAGGGGAAUUUUCUUGCGUUUGGUAGUUUAUUGCGUAGAAAUGUCUUAUUCGAGGAAAAUGUUUUUCACCAAAAUGAAAAAAAAAAAUGACAUUAUGCCUAUAUUUACAAUUCGAAAAUAUCACUGGAAUACUAUUAUUAUACCUUAUCCUUCAUGUCACCUACAUUGAUUUUCGACAUGGUUUGGUAAAGCUUUAUUACUAAAAUUGACUAUCAAAUAAUGGUUGUUGUUGACAAUUAACUAUAUAGUUCUUAGUUCAAUUUCUCUUUUUAUUUUUAUCCACCCCUUUUAGACGGGGUUUGUCGUUCGAAAUUGUCCAAUUUCAUAUACUUAUAAAAAUCAAAUUUCAUGAAGAUCAGAUCUAUAAAAGUUUAAAAAAAAAAAAAAAAAAAAAAAAAAGGUCUAUUAAAAGUCAAAGUGCUUUGAAAUGGUCAAAAGAAGAUGAACUUUGAAAUGGUCAAAUACAUCUCGAUAAGUUUGAGUUUGACUAUGUAUGGAAGUUAGACUAGAUCACUCGAAUUUGAAGCAAGUUUACAUCGGUUUUUUUGCAAGGAAAAUUCAAUAUAUCAGAAAAAUAAAUAUUAGCGAAAAAUAAUAAACUAGAAAAGGAAAGGGCGAAGAAACGAAAAAAGAAAAAAGAAAGAAACAAAAGCAAACUCACCUAUGCUCACUUAACUUUGCACUUGCCAAAUGUCAAUUGCCAUCAUAACGCAUGUAAGCUCGUGCAAAUAAGUUUAGUGGAGUUCUUAUUACAAUUUAAAAGUCUCAAGAGUUCAAAUCUAAUAACACUCUCGUCAUUGCUAACUCAAUUUAUUUUCUUAUUAACAAAGAAAAACAGUUGCGAUUAGAAAAUUAUGCAAAUACCGUUCACCAUCUUUUACCUUUUAAUUUCACGCUUCGGCACGAAUUGCGAAUUAUUUCAAGAUAAAUCCGAAUUUGAAAAUAAUUAAAAGUGCUAAAACCAAACAAAGAUGCUAAGUCUACUCAGCUUACAGUAUCAAACAUUGAAGAAGAAGAAAAACGACGGAAGAUCAAAUUAAAUAAAGGGAAAAGGGUCAUAUUUGGCUCUCCACUAUGGAAAAAAGGUUCAUAUUACUCUAAGUUAUCGGUUCAUAUAUGCAGUUAACCCACCACACCAACCCUUCUUUUUACGUUAAGGACGACAUACAUGGACCGAUAGUAUAACGUUAAGGGUGUAUAUGGAUCAAUAGUAUAACUGAAGGCAAUAUUAAGCUUUUUCAAAAGUAGUUGGGCAAAUCUUUUCCCUUAAAUAAAAUAAAGUUAGGACUUAAUUAACUUUGUACUCAAUUCUAGUCAAAGUUUAUUUAAAUGGUCCAAAGUAUAAUCCAAUAAUAUGAAGGAAAAUUAACAAUAUCUCUCAGUUCCCACUUGUCCACUAGGCACUAGUAAAAGUGACUACACAUGCAAAGGGAUAUAUAAAUAAGGUUCCCAUUAAAGGAAAAUCUCUACCGACGGUCUUGACAAUAGUAUAAAACCAAUUAAAAGCAUAGAGUAAGAGAGAGAGAAAAAAAAUGGAUAAGAAGAGAAUGAUAGGAGUGGCUGCUAUGGCUAUGGUGUUCAUCAUCCUUUUAUCGGCCAACAUAGACACUGUCAAUGCUCAAGGCGUUAAUUGCUAUGACUCUUGUGAAACUGCCUGCGUUGGUCUCCCUGACCGUCUGUACCGGCGUUGUGCGGGCAAGUGCCAGAUUAGGUGCGGACCAGAUGGCAAAAUUGAUGGAAACCUGGGUUGAAAGAGGCCAAAAGUAGCAAGCUUUCAAGGCUAUUAUUUUAAGCAGUUAGCCAGUUACACAAUACCUGUGUAAUCCACAAUAGAAUCUUCAUAGUUUGGGAAAAUAAACCUUUAUUGUUACUUGCAUGUUUAAUUAAUACGACUGUUUAUUUAUUGUAAUAGAAGCAUUGUAAUGACAUGAUGUGAAACAAUAAAUGGAAAUAAGUGUUACCGUGGAA